AUUGAACGCUGGCGGCAUGCCUUACACAUGCAAGUCGAACGGUAACGCGGGGCAACUUGGCGACGAGUGGCGAACGGGUGAGUAAUACAUCGGAACGUGCCCAGUAGUGGGGGAUAGCCCGGCGAAAGCCGGAUUAAUACCGCAUACGACCUACGGGUGAAAGCAGGGGACCGCAAGGCCUUGCGCUAUUGGAGCGGCCGAUGUCAGAUUAGGUUGUUGGUGGGGUAAAGGCCCACCAAGCCGACGAUCU
RNAcentral lists this ribosomal RNA (250 nucleotides) under uncultured bacterium. RNAcentral describes it as "partial 16S ribosomal RNA". It matches the Rfam family "Bacterial small subunit ribosomal RNA", at positions 30 to 282 of the family's 1533-position model. The record is from RNAcentral.